GACGUAGGGCGCGAGCGUUGUCCGGAUUUAUUGGGCGUAAAGAGCGUGUAGGCGGCCAGGUAGGUCCGUUGUGAAAACUGGAGGCUUAACCUCCAGCUGUCGAUGGAAACCAUCUGGCUAGAGUCCGGAAGAGGAGAGUGGAAUUCCUGGUGUAGCGGUGAAAUGCGCAGAUAUCAGGAAGAACACCCGUGGCGAAGGCGGCUCUCUGGGACGGUACUGACGCUGAGACGCGAAAGCGUGGGGAGCGAACAGG
RNAcentral lists this ribosomal RNA (253 nucleotides) under uncultured bacterium. RNAcentral describes it as "partial 16S ribosomal RNA". It matches the Rfam family "Bacterial small subunit ribosomal RNA", at positions 524 to 776 of the family's 1533-position model. The record is from RNAcentral.